CUGGAAUGGUUCAUGGCCGGAAUCUAUAUGGCCUUUGGAUUGGACUGCGGCCGAUCAGGCUGUUGGUGAGGUAAUGGCCCACCAAACCUGUUACCGGUACGGGCUCUGAGAGGAGGAGCCCGGAGAUGGGCACUGAGACAAGGGCCCAGGCCCUAUGGGGCGCAGCAGGCGCGAAACCUCUGCAAUAGGCGAAAGCCUGACAGGGUUACUCUGAGUGACUUUCGCUAAGAAAGUCUUUUGGCACCUCUAAAAAGGGUGCAGAAUAAGGGGUGGGCAAGUCUGGUGUCAGCCGCCGCGGUAAUACCAGCACCCCGAGUGGUCGGGACGAUUAUUGGGCCUAAAGCAUCCGUAGCCGGUUCUGCAAGUCCCCCGUUAAAUCCAGCUGCUCAACAGAUGGGCCGCGGAGGAUACUACAGAGCUAGGAGGCAGGAGAGGCAAGCGGUACUCAGUGGGUAGGGGUAAAAUCCGUUGACCCAUUGAAGACCACCAGUGGCGAAGGCGGCUUGCCAGAAUGCGCUCGACGGUGAGGGAUGAAAGCUGGGGGAGCAAACCGGAUUAGAUACCCGGGUAGUCCCAGCCGUAAACGAUGCAGACUCGGUGAUGGGUUGGCUUCGCGCUAACCCAGUGCCGCAGGGAAGCCGUUAAGUCUGCCGCCUGGGUAGUACUGUCGCAAGACUGAAACUUAAAGGAAUUGGCGGGGGAGCACCACAAGGGGUGAAGCCUGCGGUUCAAUUGGACUCAACGCCGGA
Molecule: ribosomal RNA, 749 nt
Filed under: uncultured archaeon
Lineage: Archaea
Description: bacterial SSU rRNA
Rfam family: Archaeal small subunit ribosomal RNA
Source: RNAcentral